GACGAACGCUGGCGGCGUGCUUAACACAUGCAAGUCGAACGAAGCAUUUGCGACAGAUUUCUUCGGAUUGAAGUUGCUUAUGGCUGAGUGGCGGACGGGUGAGUAACGCGUGGGUAACCUGCCUCACACAGGGGGAUAGCAGUUGGAAACGGCUGAUAAUACCGCAUAAGCGCACAGUACCGCAUGGUACAGUGUGAAAAACUCCGGGGGUGUGAGAUGGACCCGCGUCUGAUUAGCUAGUUGGUGAGGUAACGGCGCACCAAGGCGACGAUCAGUAGCCGACCUGAGAGGGGGACAGGCCACAUUGGGACUGAGACCAGGGCCAGAGUCCUACGGUAGGCAGCAGUGGGGAAUAUUACACAAUGGAGGAAACUCUGGUGCAGCGACGCCGCGUGAGUGAAGAAGUAAUUCGUUAUGUAAAGCUCUAUCAGCAGGGAAGAUAGUGACGGUACCUGACUAAGAAGCUCCGGCUAAAUACGUGCCAGCAGCCGCGGUAA
RNAcentral lists this ribosomal RNA (497 nucleotides) under uncultured bacterium. RNAcentral's name for it is "partial 16S ribosomal RNA". It matches the Rfam family "Bacterial small subunit ribosomal RNA", at positions 28 to 523 of the family's 1533-position model. The record is from RNAcentral.